AAAUGGGGGAAAAAAAUGUAGAAAAAAAAAAAAAAAAAAUUCAUAUCCGGAACGUACAACGACACCCUUGAUGCAAAACAUGUUUGCGCGCCUGACGAUGUUAAGACACACGACACACACUUCCCUUGAGAAAAGAUGAUAGCCUUCACGAGUGUCUUACUAUUUCUUUGCAGAGCCCCUCUUCUUGAUGACGACGCGUACACUGUCAGCUACACUUUGCAGUGUGUUACUUAAAUUUUUCUCUAUCUUUGUAUCUCUCCAUUUCAGAUAAAUUGUUAUCUUUCCAAGGGUUGAGAAGAACAUGGUCGUGGUUCAAGUGAAGCCACUACAGCCACUCCCUGACAAGCCUUCCACACCGACAGACAGUGACAGCAGACACACAAGAGACGAUGGUGUGGUGGACAAGAGGAUGCAGGGAGACAGCAGACAGAAUGGAAGCUACAGAUGAAAGAAGAGCAGGUCAAGCCAUGGCAGCAGACACAUAGACAGACAGAUUGGAUAAGAAAGAAGUAUUAUUUAGUGAGACAGGACCACUGGAAGCUGUCAGAGUGCUGUGGCACGUGGCAAGAACCAAGUGUUCAGGAGCACACACUGUCCCUUCACCAGUCAGCAGGUCUGGGCGGCUUGGAAGCCUCACUACAAACUGAAGACCCGUUCACUUGAAGGACACAGUUGGAGUUAUUUUUAAACGAGAGCUUCAGGCAGAAAAUUCGAGUGGAUUUUCAACUCUAAAAAUAACUUUUUUGGGGGGAUAUUUUGAACCUUCUUUAUCUUGAAAAAUAACUCCAGAUAUUAUGACUCUAGCUGGAAGUUGACCUGAGCAAUGUAGGGUUUGCUGCAGUGAGAUUACCAAGGCACGAGUGUCUGGGAUUUAAAGAUGAUGGAUAGGUGUCCUGUGUGCUGCUGUGCUGGGAGGAGAGGAGCAGCAGCAGUCGUGGGGCUCUGUUGCUGCUGUCACUGGUGCAGCUGUUCACUCCUGCAGCUACCUUCCCUCAACAUACUGUGUCUUCCCUCACCUGCAAUGAACAACUAUGAACAAUACUUCUCCUGCGAUGAGGAACAGUGAAUAACACCUCUCUCUCUCUCUCUCUCUCUCUCUCUCUCUCUCUCUCUCUCUCUCUCUCUCUCUCUCUCUCUCUCUCUCUCUCUCUCUCUCUCUCUCUCUCUCUCUCUCCACAGUAUGUCCCCCACAGUAUGUUUACAAACCCACAGUGACUCUCCACAGCCCCUCACCAACAAUUGUCUCCUUCACACACACACACACAAAUGUUAGAAUCUUGUAGUGUCUACAACAAGGAAUGGAACCGAAAUCGACAAGCCAAAUUUUCUUCCAGCCUGCGUGAGUGUAGUGAGGCUCAAUGUGUGUGUACAAGUGAAGAAUAUAUAUUAGAUGCUUGACUCAAAAAUAUGAGGCUUACACAAAAAUACAGGACACAACUUGAGUGUGGUGAGUCAAAGGUGAGUCAAAAUGCUCAACUUUGAAUUAACUUACAACAAAAACUAACUAAAUAAAACACACUAUAAAGAAAUAAUCUCAUCAAUUAACACUGAAAAAAAAAUAUAUAUACACCAACACAAAAUAAAUAAAUAAAUAAAUAAAUGAAGACUAAAUCAAGCAAAUUAAUCUGAACGCUAACACACAAACCAACAUAGUCGUAUAUUUUUUAACACUACGGUGAAGAAAGAUAAUGAAGCUUUAACAUUGAGUGAAAGAGAGAGAGAGAAAUUUGUGGUCUUCCUAAAUUCUCUCUCUCUCUCUCUCUCUCUCUCUCUCUCUCUCUCUCUCUCUCUCUCUUACACAAACAAUAAAAAAAACAAAAAAGUAAAUAAACAAAAUACAAGCAAAUAAUAAUAGCCGUCCACACCAAUCCACAUACACCAAGCCAUCCCAAUCCAGCCAAUCACGAGCCAGCAGCAGACACACCAAGAGGAUUGGGAGAAAGAGGAAAAAGAAAAAAAAAUGAAAAAUAAUGGAUACCGGGAGAAUAAGAAAAGAAUAAGAAAAAAAAUGGCGAAUCAAGAGAAAAAUGAGAAAAAUAAAGGAAAAAAAUACGAAUAAAAUCAAAAGGAAAAAAUGAGGGAAGAGAAAAAAUGGGGUGAGGAGGGGAACACUUAGGAAAAUAAACCAAACAAUAGGGCAUUACAUUGUGAUUACGUAUAGCAGGGAUGGAUUAUGAGAGAGAGAGAGAGAGAGAUCUGCUCAGGAAUUUAAUUUUGUGUUGGUGGUUUACGCUCUCUCUCUCUCUCUCUCUCUCUCUCUCUCUCUCUCUCUCUCUCUCUCUCUCUCUCUCUCUCUCUCUCUCUCUCUCUCUCCUUACAACAGUUUUGUUUUUCUGUUUUCUCUCGCUCUUAUCUUUCGUUGAGAGAGAGAGAGAAAGAAACAUUAUUAUUACACACACACACACAAACACUCUUUUCAUAGAUAAGUUAACGCUUUUAAUAAAAUAUAUAUAUAUAUAUAUAUAUAUAUAUAUAUAUAUAUAUAUAUAUAUAUAUAUAUAUAUAUAUAUAUAUAUAUAUAUAUAUAUAUAUAUAUAUAUAUAUAUAUAUAUAUAUAACCCUUUCUUUUUACCUUAUCUAUCACAAUAACCCUUUUCUACCUCCUAUUCCUUCCCUUCCAAAUGAAACCGAACCAUUAAGAAGUAUCACUUGCUUCUCUCCUGUAACUUAAUGAAACGCUCGAAUUAAUUCAUAAGGUGCGCAAAGGAGCUUAAUUAAUAAACAGGAAAGAUUAAAAAUGCAUUGUGGGGAAAAAAAAAGGUGAAAUAUGAAUGAGUUUGAGGAAAGGUGUGUGUGUGUGUGUGUGUGUGUGUAAGGUAAUGAGUUUUUUAACUGAAGAAUGUAAGGUAUUGGAUCCGAAAGCAUAAGAGAUUUGUAACGGUGUCACAUAAUUAAUGAUAAUAUGUAUUGUAUUUAUAAUGCCUUGCCUGAUUAGCAAUAUAAGUGUAUGUAUACAUAUAUGGAUAAGUGUAGAUAGUGGGUGUUGGCGCAUAAGGGUGGGGCGGAUAUGAUCACACCACCCUACGUCACACACACACACACACACACACACACCAUGGAACUUUCCAUACUCCUUUUAUUGCCAUGGAUAAGUAAUCGGUAGCACCUACAUUACAGUAUCUAAGUAUUCUCCAUAGUUAAUCUCUCCCUAAUGUAUUUUGGCAUGUAUUACUCUUAGCUAUAAGUAGCUUUUCCCUUGCCUUAUUUAUGUAAUUAGAGAGUAAUAAUUAUGAAUAUAUUCAUGUACUGUGAGUGCGGUCAACCCGCCCCUAUUUCUAAUGUCAGCACUUUUUGAAGGCGCUAAGCGUCCCUUGUGCCGGCUCCGGCAGUCUCUUGCCAGGGUGUAACGCUGUACCACGCAGAGGACAUCCGUUGUCCCGUACGCGCCACACCCUUCUCCAGAACUCUGUACAUAUAUCUAAAUAUACCUAUUUUUAUA
Molecule: long non-coding RNA, 3439 nt
Organism: Scylla paramamosain (green mud crab)
Lineage: Eukaryota; Metazoa; Arthropoda; Malacostraca; Decapoda; Portunidae
Exons: 4
Source: RefSeq, a predicted model, not a curated record